This is a long non-coding RNA of Myotis myotis, 1289 nucleotides long. RefSeq lists it as uncharacterized. NCBI's taxonomy places the organism in Eukaryota, Metazoa, Chordata, Mammalia, Chiroptera, Vespertilionidae. The record is from RefSeq and is a predicted model, not a curated record. The transcript is spliced from 3 exons.
CAGGCUGACCUCCCUUGUUCCCCUCAGGUGGUUGAACUUGGACUUGAUGCUAAUAGGUUCAGCCUGGAGCAAAGAGCUCCUCUGGAUACUGAGGGUCUGGGACGCUGAGCAGAGGGUAGCAUGUCCAGGGCUGAUCCCACCGCCUCCUAAAAGUUCCUCCAGGCCCACCCCCGACCCCAUGAGGAAGCGCGUCUCCCCGCCCAGGGCUGAUCACAGCACGGCCCGGUCCUGAGACCCGCUCCCUUCCUACAGGGACCCAGGUGGGGAGCCUCGCCCAGCCCAGAGCGGCCCUUCCAUUCCUCGACAGGACACAGAGACGCACAGCCACAAUCAGCUACAAUCGCGCCGCUUCGGAGGGAGGAGGCGCCGGGAAGCGUGAGUCACCGGCCGCUUCCAAUGAGGGCGCGGGGGCCCCUCGGCUCGCGUUUGAAUCGCAGGCCGGAGAAGCUGCCAGAACCCGAGACAAAGCGCGCGGGGUGGCCUUCCUUUUCCGGCUCGUCUCCCCGAUCCUGUGGCACCCCGACCCGAAGGGCGCCCCCGAGCUCAGCCCCGACGGACGCCAGCCGGGAAGCGGCCUCAGACCGCCCCGGUUCACGCAGCCUGGACGGGACCGGUGUGCCUGGAACGCCCGCGCUGGCCAUGCCCUCCCCUCGGCGCCGGGCUGCACGGAGGCUGCGCUCCACUCCGAAGAGCCAGCCAGACACCGUCCGCCAAACUCCGCGGAACACUGAGCUGUGGGUGGAAGAGCCGGGGCGAGCGGCUUGGAGACGCGGCUCUCCCUGCAGAGCGCACGCGGCCCUCCCAGGCAGGGCGUUCCAGAGGGUCCCGCGGGCCUUGACAGUGAAACAGUGUCCACGGCUCUGAAACUCCGGAAAUGCCAGGCCGCUAACGCUCCUUAAAAGUAAUUUCCAUCUCCAGAUAGUCCAGUAGCGCUUCGCCUGUGCAGAUGAUGUGGCUCACAGUCUCCGCUAUCUCGGAAAUGCAGCUGAGAGAUCUGGGAGGAAAGAAUGACUACUUCUAAAAAUUUAAAGUGCAAGUACCCCAUUCAUGGAUUAACGUCUGCAGACUUUGCUCAGCGUGCCAUUUAGCAUCUAACUGCAUUUUAGAUGCCCUUACUUAGCUGUUCCUUCUUAAACAAGGAGCUGUGAACAAUUCUCACCAUUCAGUUCAACGAAUACUGGUAUUUGAGAGUCCAUACUAGCGGCUGAAGACGGGAAGGGAAAACCUUGCCCCAGACGCUCAAAGGCUCAGGAGAAAUGGACACGGACAACAGGGAAAUGACAGCAUGA